UACGGGGGGAGCAAGCGUUGUUCGGAUUUACUGGGCGUAAAGGGCGCGUAGGCGGUCAGCACAAGUCAGUUGUGAAAUCUCCGGGCUUAACUCGGAACUGCAUUGGAAACUCAUGGACUAGAGUAUGAGAGGGGUUAAGGGAAUUCCCGGUGUAAGGGUGAAAUCUGCAGAGAUCGGGAGGAACACCAGUCGCGAAGGCGCUUAACUGGCUCAUUACUGACGCUCAGGGACGAAAGCUAGGGUAGCAAACGGG
RNAcentral lists this ribosomal RNA (253 nucleotides) under uncultured prokaryote. RNAcentral's name for it is "partial 16S ribosomal RNA". It matches the Rfam family "Bacterial small subunit ribosomal RNA", at positions 524 to 776 of the family's 1533-position model. The record is from RNAcentral.